Molecule: ribosomal RNA, 531 nt
Filed under: uncultured bacterium
Lineage: Bacteria
Description: bacterial SSU rRNA
Rfam family: Bacterial small subunit ribosomal RNA
Source: RNAcentral
UGGGGAAUAUUGCACAAUGGGCGGAAGCCUGAUGCAGCAACGCCGCGUGCGGGAUGACGGCCUUCGGGUUGUAAACCGCUUUCGCCUGUGACGAAGCGUGAGUGACGGUAAUGGGUAAAGAAGCACCGGCUAACUACGCGCCAGCAGCCGCGGUGAUACGUAGGGUGCGAGCGUUGUCCGGAUUUAUUGGGCGUAAAGGGCUCGUAGGUGGUUGAUCGCGUCGGAAGUGUAAUCUUGGGGCUUAACCCUGAGCGUGCUUUCGAUACGGGUUGACUUGAGGAAGGUAGGGGAGAAUGGAAUUCCUGGUGGAGCGGUGGAAUGCGCAGAUAUCAGGAGGAACACCAGUGGCGAAGGCGGUUCUCUGGGCCUUUCCUGACGCUGAGGAGCGAAAGCGUGGGGAGCGAACAGGCUUAGAUACCCUGGUAGUCCACGCUGUAAACGGUGGGUACUAGGUGUGGGGUCCAUUCCACGGGUUCCGUGCCGUAGCUAACACUUUAAGUACCCCGCCUGGGGAGUACGGCCGCAAGGCUA